CCUACGGGAGGCAGCAGUGAGGAAUAUUGGUCAAUGGACGCAAGUCUGAACCAGCCAUGCCGCGUGCAGGAAGACGGCUCUAUGAGUUGUAAACUGCUUUUGUACGAGGGUAAACGCAGAUACGCGUAUCUGUCUGAAAGUAUCGUACGAAUAAGGAUCGGCUAACUCCGUGCCAGCAGCCGCGGUAAUACGGAGGAUUCAAGCGUUAUCCGGAUUUAUUGGGUUUAAAGGGUGCGUAGGCGGUCGGAUAAGUUAGAGGUGAAAUCCCGAGGCUCAACUUCGGAAUUGCCUCUGAUACUGUUCGGCUAGAGAGUAGUUGCGGUAGGCGGAAUGUAUGGUGUAGCGGUGAAAUGCUUAGAGAUCAUACAGAACACCGAUUGCGAAGGCAGCUUACCAAGCUACUUCUGACGUUGAGGCACGAAGGCGUGGGGAGCGAACAGGAUUAGAUACCCCAGUAGUC
RNAcentral lists this ribosomal RNA (460 nucleotides) under uncultured bacterium. RNAcentral describes it as "partial 16S ribosomal RNA". It matches the Rfam family "Bacterial small subunit ribosomal RNA", at positions 338 to 795 of the family's 1533-position model. The record is from RNAcentral.